GAUCAACGCUGGCGGCGUGCUUAACACAUGCAAGUCGAACGAAGUUUUUCCUUCGGGAGAAACUUAGUGGCGGACGGGUGAGUAACGCGUGGGUAACCUGCCCUGUACAGGGGGACAACAGCUGGAAACGGCUGCUAAUACCGCAUAAGCACUUAGCACUGCAUGGUGCAUAGGGAAAAGGAGCAAUCCGGUACAGGAUGGACCCGCGUCUGAUUAGCCAGUUGGCAGGGUAACGGCCUACCAAAGCGACGAUCAGUAGCCGAUCUGAGAGGAUGUACGGCCACAUUGGGACUGAGACACGGCCCAGACUCCUACGGGAGGCAGCAGUGGGGAAUAUUGCACAAUGGAGGAAACUCUGAUGCAGCGACGCCGCGUGAGUGAAGAAGUAUUUCGGUAUGUAAAGCUCUAUCAGCAGGGAAGAAAAUGACGGUACCUGACUAAGAAGCACCGGCUAAAUACGU
Molecule: ribosomal RNA, 461 nt
Filed under: uncultured bacterium
Lineage: Bacteria
Description: partial 16S ribosomal RNA
Rfam family: Bacterial small subunit ribosomal RNA
Source: RNAcentral